Molecule: ribosomal RNA, 961 nt
Filed under: Microbacterium phyllosphaerae
Lineage: Bacteria; Bacillati; Actinomycetota; Actinomycetes; Micrococcales; Microbacteriaceae
Description: bacterial SSU rRNA
Rfam family: Bacterial small subunit ribosomal RNA
Source: RNAcentral
AGUCGACGGUGACACGGAGCUUGCUCUGUGGGAUCAGUGGCGAACGGGUGAGUAACACGUGAGCAACCUGCCCCUGACUCUGGGAUAAGCGCUGGAAACGGCGUCUAAUACUGGAUACGAGUAGCGAUCGCAUGGUCAGCUACUGGAAAGAUUUUUUGGUUGGGGAUGGGCUCGCGGCCUAUCAGCUUGUUGGUGAGGUAAUGGCUCACCAAGGCGUCGACGGGUAGCCGGCCUGAGAGGGUGACCGGCCACACUGGGACUGAGACACGGCCCAGACUCCUACGGGAGGCAGCAGUGGGGAAUAUUGCACAAUGGGCGGAAGCCUGAUGCAGCAACGCCGCGUGAGGGAUGACGGCCUUCGGGUUGUAAACCUCUUUUAGCAGGGAAGAAGCGAAAGUGACGGUACCUGCAGAAAAAGCGCCGGCUAACUACGUGCCAGCAGCCGCGGUAAUACGUAGGGCGCAAGCGUUAUCCGGAAUUAUUGGGCGUAAAGAGCUCGUAGGCGGUUUGUCGCGUCUGCUGUGAAAUCCCGAGGCUCAACCUCGGGCCUGCAGUGGGUACGGGCAGACUAGAGUGCGGUAGGGGAGAUUGGAAUUCCUGGUGUAGCGGUGGAAUGCGCAGAUAUCAGGAGGAACACCGAUGGCGAAGGCAGAUCUCUGGGCCGUAACUGACGCUGAGGAGCGAAAGGGUGGGGAGCAAACAGGCUUAGAUACCCUGGUAGUCCACCCCGUAAACGUUGGGAACUAGUUGUGGGGUCCAUUCCACGGAUUCCGUGACGCAGCUAACGCAUUAAGUUCCCCGCCUGGGGAGUACGGCCGCAAGGCUAAAACUCAAAGGAAUUGACGGGGACCCGCACAAGCGGCGGAGCAUGCGGAUUAAUUCGAUGCAACGCGAAGAACCUUACCAAGGCUUGACAUAUACAAGAACGGGCCAGAAAUGGUCAACUCUUUUGGACACUCGU